GACGAACGCUGGCGGCGUGCUUAACACAUGCAAGUCGAACGGAAAGGCCCUGCUUUUUUGGGGUGCUCUAGUUGCGAACGGGUGAGUAACACUUGAGUAACCUGCCCUUGACUGUGGGAUAACUUCAUGAAACUGGGUCUAAUACCGGAUAGGAGCUCCUGCUGCAUGGUGGGGGUGGGAAAGUUUCGGUGGUUGGGGAUGGACUCGCUGCUUAUCAGGUUGUUGGUGGGGUAGUGGAUUACCAAGGCUUUGACGGGUAGCCGGGCUGAGAGGGUGACAGGCCAAAUCGGGACUGAGAUAAGGCCCAGCCUCCUACGGGAGGCAGCAGUGGGGAAUAUUGCACAAUGGGCGGAAGCAUGACGCAGCAACGCCGCGCGGGGGAUGACGGCAUUGGGGUUGUAAACCGAUUUCGCCUGUGACGAAGCGUGAGUGACGGUAAUGGGUAAAGAAGCACCGGCUAACUACGUG
Molecule: ribosomal RNA, 468 nt
Filed under: uncultured bacterium
Lineage: Bacteria
Description: partial 16S ribosomal RNA
Rfam family: Bacterial small subunit ribosomal RNA
Source: RNAcentral